GACGAACGCUGGCGGCGUGCUUAACACAUGCAAGUCGAACGGAAAGGCCCUGCUCUUGUGGGGUGCUCGAGUGGCGAACGGGUGAGUAACACGUGAGUAACCUGCCCUUGACUUUGGGAUAACUUCAGGAAACUGGGGCUAAUACCGGAUAGGAGCUCCUGCUGCAUGGUGGGGGUUGGAAAGUUUCGGCGGUUGUGGAUGGACUCGCGGCUUAUCAGCUUGUUGGUGGGGUAGUGGCUUACCAAGGCUUUGACGGGUAGCCGGCCUGAGAGGGUGACCGGCGACAUUGGGACUGAGAUACGGCCCAGACGCCUACGGGAGGCAGCAGGGGGGAGUAUUGCAGAAUGGGCGGAAGUCUGAGGCAGCGACGCCGCGUGCGUGAUGACGGCCUUCGGGUUGUAAACCGCUUUCGCCUGUGACAAAGCGUGAGUGACGGUAAUGGGUAAAGAAGCACCGGCUAACUACGUG
RNAcentral lists this ribosomal RNA (468 nucleotides) under uncultured bacterium. RNAcentral's name for it is "partial 16S ribosomal RNA". It matches the Rfam family "Bacterial small subunit ribosomal RNA", at positions 28 to 507 of the family's 1533-position model. The record is from RNAcentral.